AGCGCGAUGGCCGAGCGGUUAAGGCGUCGGGCUCAAGUUCCAAAGGAUGUACGUUCUCGUGGGUUCAAACCCCAUUUGCGCUA
This 83-nucleotide transfer RNA is filed under the name Haemonchus placei. It matches the Rfam family "tRNA". From Rfam's summary of the family: Transfer RNA (tRNA) molecules are approximately 80 nucleotides in length. Their secondary structure includes four short double-helical elements and three loops (D, anti-codon, and T loops). Lineage: Eukaryota; Metazoa; Nematoda; Chromadorea; Rhabditida; Trichostrongylidae. The record is from Rfam by way of RNAcentral.